AAGGAUUUAUUCAUAAACGAUAUGGGAUAAGCAACUUGAUCUAUAGAGGUAGAUCUCGAAGAUUGCUUAACUCAUCCUAAUUUACAUAGAUGAAAUCUUGAGAAGGUUUCAUCUGGAGAAACUGGUUUACUCUUAAGCGGUAUGUUGGAAAGGUUCCCAACGUGAAGCAGCCAUUGAUUCAAUAGUAGAAACCUAAUACAUGGAUACUUUAGAAGUAGCAAAGAGUUGCAAUAUGGAUCAUGAUGUUCAUAAAUGAACUUGGAGUAGUUCCUGAUAUUGUUGAUCACAUACAAUAGUAUUG
This 301-nucleotide long non-coding RNA is filed under the name Olea europaea (common olive). RNAcentral's name for it is "long non-coding RNA (OEUR_LNC009947)". The record is from RNAcentral. Lineage: Eukaryota; Viridiplantae; Streptophyta; Magnoliopsida; Lamiales; Oleaceae.